This 253-nucleotide ribosomal RNA is filed under the name uncultured bacterium. RNAcentral's name for it is "partial 16S ribosomal RNA". It matches the Rfam family "Bacterial small subunit ribosomal RNA", at positions 524 to 776 of the family's 1533-position model. The record is from RNAcentral.
UACGUAGGGGGCAAGCGUUGUCCGGAAUUAUUGGGCGUAAAGAGCGUGUAGGCGGUCCGGUAAGUCGGCUGUGAAAGUCCAGGGCUCAACCCUGGGAUGCCGGUCGAUACUGCCGGACUAGAGUUCGGAAGAGGCGAGUGGAAUUCCCGGUGUAGCGGUGAAAUGCGCAGAUAUCGGGAAGAACACCCGUGGCGAAGGCGGUUCUCUGGGACGGUACUGACGCUGAGACGCGAAAGCGUGGGGAGCGAACAGG